This 3097-nucleotide unclassified non-coding RNA is filed under the name Pectinophora gossypiella (pink bollworm). RNAcentral describes it as "uncharacterized LOC126370264". Lineage: Eukaryota; Metazoa; Arthropoda; Insecta; Lepidoptera; Gelechiidae. The record is from RNAcentral.
CCGCCAUUUUAUUGGACAAUUUGCGUCGUCAUUUCGUUUUUACACUGUUUUGUAAAUUUGUUUUACAAUUAUUGUUUAUAUUAUAAAAAUAAAGUGCGUAACAAUCAGGAACGAUGACGGAUAUAAAAAGAUUGGUCGCGGCCAGAGGGCAAGCAAAAGGCUCACGACCAGAUCAACGCUCGAUUUCGGGAGAAGGAGGUGGAAAAUUCCAACGCCUUCCGCGCAUAAAUAUUCGUCAAUUUGACGGAAAUAAUAUCGAAAAUAGAGCUGUAGCACUUGAGACUGCUACGGGCCCCAAAGAGGAGCCACGUAAGAACUCAAUGGCUGUGUGCGCUCAGGCAGUGUCUACAGUAAAGAAGCAGUCACCUUCAGCAAAAUGCAUUGGAGCACCAGGCAUCCCCGCUUAAGGAAAAUGGACCUUACCUACUCAAGACAAAGUUUGGUGAUGUGAUAGCCGGUUCGUUGCCUCCAAUGUAUGUAUCCCUACCCAGCAUUGACCACUCCAUAUCUGUUCAAAACCAAAUCGUGCUGGCGUGGCUGAGCAUGGAACCAGUCAGACUGCUGUCAUAUGUCGCAAACAGAGUCAUUAAAAUCAAAGAGCUGACUUCAGGAUGGCCUUGGUUCUAUGUGAAGACCACUGACAACCCCGCGGAUUGUCUCUCUCGAGGAGUGGAGCCUCAUGCAUUGCAGAACAAUGAGCUUUGGUGGCACGGGCCUCAAUUUCUAAAUAACAACUCAUUUUCUCAUGGAAAUGCAAAGCAUGAGCCUUUAUCACCGCACGAACUGCCUGAAAUUAACAAAAAAUGUUGCAUUAUUGUAAACUGUAAUGAUGCUUGUCAUGUUGUAACUAACAAUGAUAAUGCCUUUAAUAUGGACCUACUUGCUCGCUUUUCUGAUAUUAUAAAGCUAAAACGGGUUGUAGCCUAUAUACUACGAUUUUCGGAUAAUUGUAAGAUAAAAAAUAUAACAGAGAGGCGUACGGGCGCGCUUCAGCCGUGUGAGCUUGAAAACGCUUUAUUAACAAUUAUUAAAAUGGACCAACAGAGGCAUUAUCAAAAAGAAAUUGCCUGCUUAAAGGCUAACAAACCUGUAUCACAUUCUCUAUCAGCAUUGAGUCCUUUUCUUGAUAAGAAUGGCUUAUUAAGAGUUGGUGGGAGAUUGGAAAAUUCACAGCUUCCAUUCACUCAAAAGCACCCAUUGAUACUUGUUAAAGGUUCUCACAUCACUAAGCUUCUUAUAUGGAAAGAACAUGAAACUUUAUUACACGCGGGACCUAAGUUAUUGCUUGCUUCACUUAAUAAUAAGUUUUGGCUUAUCAAUGCUGUAAGGGAAAUAAAACAUGUAAUUCACAAAUGUAUAAAAUGUUUUAAGCUAAAGGCAAAGGCUGCAUCACAGCUGAUGGGGUCUCUGCCAGCCGAAAGGGUCACUGUAGCCAGGCCUUUCGAGAAGGUCGGCAUCGACUAUGCAGGUCCUUUUAAUAUAAAAUUACACCGUGUUAGGAAACCACUUAUUUUAAAAGCAUAUGUGUUAAUAUUUGUAUGUUUUGUCACAAAAGCGAUACAUGUGGAGCUCGCUUCCGAUUUAACCACAGCUUGUUUUUUAAAUUGCUUAAAAAGAUUUAUUGCACGGCGUAAUAAACCUUCGCAAAUCUUUUGUGACAAUGCAGCUACUUUUAAAGGUGCAAACUCACAAUUACAGGAGUUGUACAAACUACAGUCUCACCCAACACACCAAAAUUCAGUCGUGAAGUUUACAGCUGAUCAAGGUAUCACCUUUAAUUUCAUUCCCGCGUAUAGUCCGGUAUUUGGUGGGUUAUGGGAGGCUGGGGUUAAGAGUUUAAAGUAUCAUAUGAAAAGAGUAAUUGGGCAGACAGUACUUACGUAUGAGGAGCUAAACACUGUUAUCAUACAGAUUGAAGGCAUAUUGAAUGCGAGGCCGCUUACGCCUAUGUCCUCGGAUCCCUCAGAUCUCUCAUAUUUAACACCAAGUCACUUUCUUACUGGAGCUCCAAUUACUGCUUUCCCAGAACAGGAUCUCACUGACAUUCCUACUAAUAAGCUUCACUUUUGGGAGCAAUGUACUAAAAUUAAACAGAACUUUUUUAAGCAAUGGCAAAAACAGUACCUAUCUAUGUUGCAAAACAGGCCAAAAUGGAAAACUAGUACUCCUAAUAUUGAUGUUGGUACUUUAAUAAUCCUUAGAGAUAAUAAUAUUAUGCCUUUCCAAUGGCCUAUGGCAAGGGUUGUAAAACUUUACCCAGGUAACGACAACAAGGUGCGUGCAUUUGAUGUAAAAAUGCCUAAUGGUAAUAUUGUACGAACCAGUAUCACAAAGGUAUGUCCAUUGCCAAUUUAUUGAUAUGUUUUGAGUAGGUAGGGUUUUGUUCUAUGGAUAAAGUAAUAGUUUUGUUCUGUUAAAAAUAUUUGUGUUAAACUUUAUAUUAUAAUUCUUAAAAUAGGUAUAAUAUUAUGUAACAUUUAGAUAACUUAGUCCUUUUUCUUUUACUGCUGCCUGGCAGCCUUGUGUAUUAUCUACACACAAUAAUGGUAUCUUUUUCAAAUUUAUUAUAAUUUGUAAGACAACUAGCAUAAGGUUUCAAUAAGAAUAACUAGGAUAGGGUUUCAAUAAGACAACUAGGACAAGCUUUCAAAAGAUUAACUUUUUACUAGUUGCAUAAAUCUUUUAUUUUGUUUUGUUCACAUAAAGUCAAGGUUACUUUUUAAGUGGAUUAAAAUUUUCACAGAAACUAUUUAUUGUAACUUUUAAGUUCUUAAAUUAAUAAGUGUUAAGCUACAUUAGCAAAAAUGUUGUUUAAUCAGUCAUUAUUGAUAUUUAACUUUUAAUUAUCCUGCCACUGUUUGUUCAUUUCGCUUAUAAUCAAACUGUUUAAGGAUAUUUUGUGAAUGUUUUUCUUUUUGCUGGUGGGGCAAUUAUGUUCGAAUCCUCACAUAAAAUAAUGUGGCAACACUAGAUUUAAGUUUUUUAAUUCGACCACAAGAUGGCGAUUGUAACACUCUUUCCCUUCAACUCUUUGCGUAAUCAUUCAAAAUGUAACUAUAAAAUAUAAUCCUAUUAAAUACAGUCCACUUUUAACUUU